UACAGAGGGUGCGAACGUUGCUCGGAAUUACUGGGCGUAAAGCGCGUGUAGGCGGUCCGUUAAGUUGGUUGUGAAAUCCCAUGGCUCAACCAUGGAAGUGCUGCCAAAACUGGCGGGCUGGAGUGCCGGAGAGGGUGGCGGAAUUCCCAGUGUAGAGGUGAAAUUCGUAGAUAUUGGGAGGAACACCGGUGGCGAAGGCGGCCACCUGGACGGUAACUGACGCUAAGACGCGAAAGCGUGGGGAGCAAACAGG
RNAcentral lists this ribosomal RNA (253 nucleotides) under uncultured bacterium. Its description in RNAcentral is "partial 16S ribosomal RNA". It matches the Rfam family "Bacterial small subunit ribosomal RNA", at positions 524 to 776 of the family's 1533-position model. The record is from RNAcentral.